This is a long non-coding RNA of Eutrema salsugineum, 419 nucleotides long. RefSeq lists it as uncharacterized. The transcript is spliced from 3 exons. The record is from RefSeq and is a predicted model, not a curated record. NCBI's taxonomy places the organism in Eukaryota, Viridiplantae, Streptophyta, Magnoliopsida, Brassicales, Brassicaceae.
GGGCACAAGUGUUGGCGAUCCUGAAGGUGUUCGAACAAGAUAAUUAAAGGUUGAUCUUCGAGUAAAAAAACCGAUGGUAAACGUCAGCAACGUAAAGGCAGUGGAAGCAAACUCAGGAAUCAACUACGUUGGAUUUAGAGGAAUAUCCACGCUAAGGAACCAGGGACAGAGCAAAUAAAGUGGUAAAAGAAGAGGAGGAAUAGCUGAAGAUGUUAAGAACAACGGAGAAGAAAUGCAUAAUGCUGUUAAGUGGUUGGUACACAUUCAAAGAAGUGUGGGACUUCAAAAAACAAAGGAAAUCAACAUUGUAGGAAGUCAGUACUUUUAUUUCCAACGAUAUCAAAUGUCUGAAAUACAGAAUGACCUAAAGGUAUGCUUCUUCUUUAUUUGGAACAUGUUUUCUUGCAAAGCUUAUAUAU